RNAcentral lists this ribosomal RNA (497 nucleotides) under uncultured bacterium. RNAcentral's name for it is "partial 16S ribosomal RNA". It matches the Rfam family "Bacterial small subunit ribosomal RNA", at positions 28 to 507 of the family's 1533-position model. The record is from RNAcentral.
GAUGAACGCUGGCGGCGUGCCUAAUACAUGCAAGUCGAGCGAACAGACGAGGAGCUUGCUCCUCUGACGUUAGCGGCGGACGGGUGAGUAACACGUGGAUAACCUACCUAUAAGACUGGGAUAACUUCGGGAAACCGGAGCUAAUACCGGAUAAUAUAUUGAACCGCAUGGUUCAAUAGUGAAAGACGGUUUUGCUGUCACUUAUAGAUGGAUCCGCGCCGCUUUAGCUAGUUGGUAAGGUAACGGCUUACCAAGGCAACGAUGCGUAGCCGACCUGAGAGGGUGAUCGGCCACACUGGAACUGAGACACGGUCCAGACUCCUACGGGAGGCAGCAGUAGGGAAUCUUCGGCAAUGGGCGAAAGCUUGACGGAGCAACGCCGCGUGAGUGAUGAAGGUCUUCGGAUCGUAAAACUCUGUUAUUGGGGAAGAACAAAUGUGUAAGUAACUAUGCACGUCGUGACGGUACCUAAUCAGAAAGCCACGGCUAACUACGUG